AGCUGGGUUGUUAAGUCUCUUGGGAAAUCUGGCGGCUUAACCGUCAGGCGUCUAAGGGAUACUGGCAAUCUUGGAACCGGGAGAGGUGAGGGGUACUUCGGGGGUAGGAGUGAAAUCCUGUAAUCCUCGAGGGACCACCUGUGGCGAAGGCGCCUCACCAGAACGGCUUCGACAGUGAGGGACGAAAGCUGGGGGAGCAAACCGGAUUAGAUACCCGGGUAGUCCCAGCCGUAAACUAUGCGCGUUAGGUGUAUCGGUGACCACGAGUUACCGAGGUGCCGAAGGGAAACCGUGAAACGUGCCGCCUGGGAAGUACGGUCGCAAGGCUGAAACUUAAAGGAAUUGGCGGGGGAGCACCACAACAGGUGGAGCCUGCGGUUUAAUUGGACUCAACGCCGGGAAGCUCACCGGAUAGGACAGCAGAAUGAUUGCCGGGCUGAAGACCCUGCAUGACUAGCUGAGAGGAGGUGCAUGGCCGUCGUUAGUUCGUACUGUGAAGCAUCCUGUUAAGUCAGGCAAUGAGCAAGACCCACGCCAACAGUUGCCAGCAUGGUCUCCGGACUGAUGGGGACACUGUUGGGACCGCCUCUGCUAAAGAGGAGGAAGGAAUGGGCAACGGUAGGUCAGCAUGCCCCGAAUUAUCCGGGCUACACGCGGGCUACAAUGGGCAGGACAAUGGGCAUCGACACCGUGAGGUGGAGGCAAUCUCCUAAACCUGUCCUUAGUUCGGAUUGUGGGCUGAAACUCGCCCACAUGAAGCUGGAAUCUGUAGUAAUCGCGUUUCAAAAUAACGCGGUGAAUUUGUCCCUGCUCCUUGCACUCACCGCCCGUAA
RNAcentral lists this ribosomal RNA (833 nucleotides) under uncultured prokaryote. RNAcentral's name for it is "bacterial SSU rRNA". It matches the Rfam family "Archaeal small subunit ribosomal RNA", at positions 523 to 1355 of the family's 1478-position model. The record is from RNAcentral.